Salvia miltiorrhiza (redroot sage) is the source of this 757-nucleotide long non-coding RNA. RefSeq lists it as uncharacterized. NCBI's taxonomy places the organism in Eukaryota, Viridiplantae, Streptophyta, Magnoliopsida, Lamiales, Lamiaceae. The transcript is spliced from 3 exons. The record is from RefSeq and is a predicted model, not a curated record.
AUCACGAAUAAGGUGAAUCGGGUAGUUCCGAUUUUUACUCCACCUUCUAAACGAUUACAGAAAUAUCGAAUAGGGUUUUCGAAUCAAACUCACAAAUCUUUCAUCUUCCUCUCCGCUGCGGUUCGAUAUAGGUUCAAAGACGACAUUAUCAAAAAUCUUGCAGUUUUCGACAAGAAAUUCAAAGCGAUUUGAAGAAUUGAGGGCGACAACUGGAUAGAUAGUUCGAUUUGCACUUUCGGAUAAACUGCUGCAUCUCUCGGUCCUUUGAAGGUCGAUUUUUUUUAACAACAAAGAAAGCUUCAUAUUCAGGUGAAGCUUUAGAACUGAAUGUGAUAGUUCUGUUGUGCGCCACGCCUGCUGCCCAUCUCGCUGCUCAAGACUAGGAUCUCAGUUUACAAAUUUGUUGAACCAUUGGAUGCUAAGAUUCAAAUAUUUUAUUUUUUGUAUUGGUUUUUGUUCAUUAAAGAAUUGUGUUUGUUCAUCAAAAUAUUGUGUUCUGUUCAUUAAAAACCACCGCCGCGCCCUUUCGCCUCGCCUCGCCUCAGCGCCGCCAGUCGCACAAUUAUUGGGUUCGAGCCGCCGCUGCUACUCUCUCGGUCGAGGACUGAGAGCUGAUGCUGUCUGCCAUGGCGAGCCGCUCUGUUGCUGGUCCUCCCUCUUCUGACUAAAGAUCUUCUUUAUUUAUCACAAUUUGCAUAAAGAUAUAUAUGUAGUUUCAAUUUCUAGUUAUUCUUUUGUAUGAAUAUUGAAUUCCUUG